Molecule: ribosomal RNA, 301 nt
Filed under: uncultured bacterium
Lineage: Bacteria
Description: partial 16S ribosomal RNA
Rfam family: Bacterial small subunit ribosomal RNA
Source: RNAcentral
CAGUCGCCACGGUAAUACGUAGGUGGCAAGCGUUGUCCGGAAUUAUUGGGCGUAAAGGGCUCGCAGGCGGUUUCUUAAGUCUGAUGUGAAAGCCCCCGGCUCAACCGGGGAGGGUCAUUGGAAACUGGGAAACUUGAGUGCAAAAGAGGAGAGUGGAAUUCCACGUGUAGCGGUGAAAUGCGUAGAGAUGUGGAGGAACACCAGUGGCGAAGGCGACUCUCUGGUCUGUAACUGACGCUGAGGAGCGAAAGCGUGGGGAGCGAACAGGAUUAGAUACCCCUGUAGUCCCUGUCUCUUAUAC